AUUGAACGCUGGCGGCAGGCCUAACACAUGCAAGUCGGACGGUAGCACAGAGGAGCUUGCUCCUCGGGUGACGAGUGGCGGACGGGUGAGUAAUGUCUGGGGAUCUGCCCGAUAGAGGGGGAUAACCACUGGAAACGGUGGCUAAUACCGCAUAACGUCGCAAGACCAAAGAGGGGGACCUUCGGGCCUCUCACUAUCGGCGUAACCCAGAUGGGAUUAGCUAGUAGGCGGGGUAACGGCCCACCUAGGCGACGACCCCUAGCUGGUCUGAGAGGAUGACCAGCCACACUGGAACUGAGACACGGUCCAGACUCCUACGGGAGGCAGCAGUGGGGAAUAUUGCACAAUGGGCGCAAGCCUGAUGCAGCCAUGCCGCGUGUAUGAAGAAGGCCUUCGGGUUGUAAAGUACUUUCAGCGGGGAGGAAGGCGAUGUGGUUAAUAACCGCGUCGAUUGACGUUACCCGCAGAAGAAGCACCGGCUAACUCCGUGCCAGCCGCCGCAGUAA
This 506-nucleotide ribosomal RNA is filed under the name uncultured bacterium. RNAcentral's name for it is "partial 16S ribosomal RNA". It matches the Rfam family "Bacterial small subunit ribosomal RNA", at positions 29 to 523 of the family's 1533-position model. The record is from RNAcentral.